GGACGAACGCUGGCGGCGUGCCUAACACAUGCAAGUCGAGCGGGGAACUUCGGUUCCCAGCGGCGGACGGGUGAGUAACACGUGGGUAACCUGCCUUGUAGAGGGGGAUAGCCUUCCGAAAGGAAGAUUAAUACCGCAUAACAUUAUGCUUUCGCAUGAGAGUAUAAUCAAAGGAGCAAUCCACUACAAGAUGGACCCGCGGCGCAUUAGCUAGUUGGUGAGGUAACGGCUCACCAAGGCGACGAUGCGUAGCCGGCCUGAGAGGGUGAACGGCCACAUUGGAACUGAGACACGGUCCAGACUCCUACGGGAGGCAGCAGUGGGGAAUAUUGCACAAUGGGCGAAAGCCUGAUGCAGCAACGCCGCGUGAGUGAUGAAGGCCUUCGGGUUGUAAAGCUCUGUCUUCUGGGACGAUAAUGACGGUACCAGAGGAGGAAGCCACGGCUAACUACGUGCCAGCAGCCGCGGUAAUACGUAGGUGGCAAGCGUUGUCCGGAUUUACUGGGCGUAAAGGAUGCGUAGGCGGAUGCUUAAGUCAGAUGUGAAAAUCCCGGGCUUAACUUGGGAACUGCAUUUGAAACUGGGUAUCUAGAGUGCGGGAGAGGAGAGUGGAAUUCCUAGUGUAGCGGUGAAAUGCGUAGAGAUUAGGAAGAACACCAGUGGCGAAGGCGACUCNCUGGACCGUAACUGACGCUGAGGCAUGAAAGCGUGGGGAGCAAACAGGAUUAGAUACCCUGGUAGNCCACGCCGUAAACUAUGAAUACUAGGUGUGGGAGUUGUCAUGACUUCCGUGCCGCAGUUAACACAAUAAGUAU
RNAcentral lists this ribosomal RNA (815 nucleotides) under uncultured bacterium anoxSCC-18. RNAcentral describes it as "bacterial SSU rRNA". It matches the Rfam family "Bacterial small subunit ribosomal RNA", at positions 27 to 867 of the family's 1533-position model. The record is from RNAcentral.